Molecule: ribosomal RNA, 253 nt
Filed under: uncultured bacterium
Lineage: Bacteria
Description: partial 16S ribosomal RNA
Rfam family: Bacterial small subunit ribosomal RNA
Source: RNAcentral
UACGGAGGGUGCAAGCGUUGCUCGGAAUUAUUGGGCGUAAAGGGUAGGUAGGUGGUCUCGUUUGUCUGGGGUGAAAGCCUUGAGCUUAACUCAAGAAGUGCCCCAGAAACGGCGAGACUAGAGUCCUGGAGAGGGUCGUGGAAUUCCCGGUGUAGCGGUGAAAUGCGUAGAGAUCGGGAGGAACACCAGAGGCGAAGGCGGCGACCUGGACAGGUACUGACACUCAACUACGAAAGCGUGGGGAGCAAACAGG